AAAAAAAAAAAAAAAAAACAGACUCCAAGAAGAUCUGGCAAAAAACCUUUAGAGAUGGUAACAGUGGGAUUUAUAGCUGAAGCCUCUUUGCUACAGUCACAUCUGGCUAUUAGCUAUUAGAACAUGCUGCAAUACAAAUAAUGUGCAAUUAUUAUGCAGUUAUGUUGUCAAACAGUGUUUAAAAUUAAAUGUCCUGGCCUAAGGUUGCACCCUGGAUUACAUGGAUAUAACACUAAAAACCUGUAUGGUAGGAUGCUGAUUAAUCCCUCUCGACUCAUUCUGUUUUGUGGGAGUUAUUAUACUUGUAUGAGCUCUAUGAUUAAUAGCUGGAAAUCAGCAGCAUUGUGGCAGAGAGUGAGAUGAAAUUUCUUAGUAAGAAUUUUCUCACAGUGUUGUUGUUAAGUAUUUCAAUGGUUGGUUACAGGGUUACAGUGUCCCCAUUACUCCAGUAAGUCAUGUGGAUUAUCCAUAAUAAAGAUGAUACUGGUGAUUUAUAUAUAGUAGCUGUUGUUUACGUUUUUCAAAUGUUAUAUAUUAAUUAUUUUAGAUUUCCAUGUUUAAAUUCAACCCUUUAAACACAACAGUAGUAUUUCAAAACCUUGGCAUAUAAAACCACAGCAGGCUACAGGGUUAAAUAGAUACCACUUGGGGUGAGGAGAGAAAAUAUCUGCUUGUAAUUUGUUUGCAUUGACCCUUUAUAGUGUUGUUUCACGUGACCAUAGGUAAAAGCGUAACCAAGAAGAUUGGAUUGGUGACACACGCGCAUUAAUGACAAGAGAAGCCCGUGACUCACUGAGGCAAGCAUCAGUGACAAUCUGGUUUCCAUCAUCACACUCCUCUCCGUGCUGGGCCUGCACCUUUCCAUCCCCACACAUGCCAACUCUGUCCGGGACUUUCUCUGUGGACUGGAACGGCUGGAAGGGCUAGAUGAAGCGUAAAGGAGAAAACACAAGCGCUGACUUGACAUUUCAGGCCGUCCAGUUGGUCCUCUCUUCCCCGAGAUUCCUGGCUCUCCCUUUGGUCCCUGUUCACCCUGAGAGAGGAGCAGAAUUUAGGAAUACUCAUGUUAAAUCAAAUCUUUAAGUGUCCUCAUUCUUUAAUUGUUCCUACCUUCUGGCCAAGCAUCCCGGGCAAACCAAUUGAACCCUAAGUAGAGACAAAAUGAGAGUCUUAGUGAAAAAAGUCAUUCCCUCAGCAGAAUUGGGACUCAUUAAGUGUUAUUAAUCUGGCUCUGAGACAGACAGUGUAUUGAAACAGCUUGAAAUGUAAAGACCUGAAAGACAGUAUCUCAUGAACCUCUUCAAUCAAUAUUUAAAGAAGCUGUUGUGGAGGAUUUUAAGGCCUAAGCAAAAGAUCAGAACCUUCAUAACAAACGAGUUAAGGUACUAAUUGUCCAAGCUGGGCAUAAAUGGGCUGAAUGUAUUUAUGCAACAAAACACCUUCCAAUACAAUUUCAGGACCUGCAAUAAAAGAAGCAUUUCUCUCAAA
Long non-coding RNA from Lates calcarifer (barramundi perch), 1488 nucleotides. RefSeq lists it as uncharacterized. The transcript is spliced from 3 exons. The record is from RefSeq and is a predicted model, not a curated record. Lineage: Eukaryota; Metazoa; Chordata; Actinopteri; Centropomidae.